CAACGUCCUGGAAACGGUGAAUGGAAACUUAGAAAUAAGGAGCCGCGCACAGGGAGCUCGAAGAUGCAACUCAGGCUGAUGGAGAUGAUUGUGUUUGGGCUCCUUGGUUAGUAAGUUCAAGAUGCUGGAAGUAGCGUGUGAACUGUGUUGCAGCCCAUCAAAAUGGUGUUUUCUUUCUCUUUCAUCUCUUACGAGCACAAAGAUGCUGUAUGCCUUGGAACAUGCCAUGAAUGCAUGCUGGGAGUUCCUGAAGGUGCUUAAGCCUGGACAGGUUUUCCUGGUGACCAAUGAGUGCCCUAGGGUCUGUGCUGAGGAUAAAGAACUCCAGUUCCAGAACCCCCACUGAAGACUGCAAGCAGGGGAGUCCUUGUCUGCCUCUGCACCCAACACUUGCCCUGUUACAUGCUCCGUUUCUUCCUGCCUGUCCACACGAGCGAAUCCCCCCAGCAGCCCUCAUGUGUUUCAGCACUGUCAAAAAAACCUCAAGAGAGCAUCAUGGAGUUCCUUUGGAACAGAAAGUGUGACCCAGUCAGGCCUGUGCUGCUUAACCAAGCCGCUCUUUCACCAGUGCAGCAGUCCAUGCAGGGAAAGCCAUUACAUCUCUUUUCCUUCCAGCAAGAUGUUCUAUUCUAUCACCUCAUGCUUAUCCAACAAGCAACUGUCAGAGACUGAGAUCUGACAGAGAUGUGAACCCCCAGCUUCCUGGCUGGCAGCAUUAAUGGCCAUGCUUGCAGAGUGUUUUGCUGUCUUAAUAGCAGCUGUCAUCACCACUAUGGGAAUGCCUCUCACUCUGACCAGCAGCCACAGAAGAUUAAUGUGUGUGAUCCUAGAGGAAUUGUUUCUUCUGGCUGCUGAUGUGCCACAAUUAGCACCUUCAUCUCUAAGCUGGUACUUUGUUCCUUGUUAAUAAAAUGAUUGUUGAGGAUUUCCUUCCAGAGAGUUGGGGGAGUGCCAUGUGAGAGAGGCAGUGAUGAUGAAUCCGCUGAACACAGGCACAGCUUGGGAGUGGUGCAGAGAUUGUAUUGCUCGUGUCACCACCUCAUUACUGUUGUUGGUUUUUAUGGCACCAUAAACAUUGGGCCGCACCGUUUCCCUCCCAUCGCAGACAGUGAAACGAUGGAGCUAUCAGCACCUCCAAGGAGGCACUCAACAUCUUGCAGGAGUGAACUCGGUGCCUAUACAAAGGAUAGUGUAGAAGCAGCCAAGGAGAAGUUGGAGCACAGGCAUCCGUAGGACAAACUAGGCAUCCUCUCCUGAGGCUGAGGGGUUACAACAACAUUUCAAAAGAAAACCUCAUCUCCAAAAUGGAGACAUACAGCACUAAUGUUCUCUUGUCAUACUAUGAUUUCAAAGUGUAAGAAGUAGCCACACUCUAUGAUGUCUCCUGUUGCAAAGUAAGGAAAUAUAGCAUCUUCACAGUUGUAUCUAUACCACCACUAGUGUGCGAGGCAAGUUCUGCAAUUUUUAGCAGGGAAAUUGUGCACAAGUGAAGCCUUGAAGCAUGUGGACGUUCCCAUAACUGGUUAACAGAAGAAAUUCAAGCAACUGACUCACUGACCUGCAUUCAUUUUCACUGCGGUCUUCAAACCCUAGACAGCAGGGGAGAGCCUGCUCAAAGCUGCAGUCAUUUCUGAACCAUGAGCUAUCUCCAGUGCAGCGUAGUCCUCUCACAGCUUCGUGGGGACCAUGCUCAUUUGGUCACAUAAUGCAAAAAAGCAGGAACCAUGAUACACGCUCUAGAUGCCAUUGUAAUGCUUUCAGAGCUAGCAAAGGGAGGAUGUUUCACUGGUAAUGGUGCUGGGGAAGAGUCGGUUCAUACCUAGGUUCAGCUGCAGACUUCACAGGCAUCUCCAUACCAUUUCACACCAUUAAGCUCCCUGAGACGGUGCAUUAGGACACAGAUGUUGUGUGGCUGGAUCUGGAGUGCUCCCACCGAGGGACUGCAGGAAGAUCGUAGAAAAAGUCUGAACGGGACCACAAGAAAUUGUUUAGCCAGCCGCUGUGACUCAAGACUGUGUCUCCAAUACCUAAACUACUGCCUGCAGACAGCAGCGUGACCUGCCUGCUCUCAGAAGCCUGCAGCACUGGGAAAUCCACAGCUUCCCUCCACAAAUUAUUCAGCAGCUUAGCUAUUCCUGUGCACUCCCUACAGUCUCAUCAAAAUUUCCUCAGCUACACUUUAAACUUAUGACUUAUUGCCCUUAUCACAAUAGAUUCAGUAAAUAUUUUAUUCCUUUUCUUUUUGCAAUUACCUUCCACAUACUUGAGCACUGUUAUCAUGUCUUUCCUUAGCCUUUCCACUCCAGACUUAAAUAAACCAAGUCUUUUAAUCUUUCAUCACAGGCCACGUUUUCUAGAGCUCUGAUAAUUCCUCUUGCUUUUCUUUGGACUUCUUCCAACUGACCUUCCCGUUUCUUGCUUCAAACUGAAUAGUCUGCUAGCUGGAGUGUCACGGUGUGAGCAGACUGGCAGGUGAUCUAUCAGCUCACAAAACACAGUGAGGCCAAGUAAAAUCGAAGCAGAUGAGUACAUCAUCAGCUCCUAGUUUAUCUACUAUCUGUAAUGUUUCUACUGAGUCGUAUUGUUUACUGGUAUGCCAGCUGACACCAAAGAAGCUUUGUGUUCCUUUCCACCUACAUUUUGGCCAACUGUAGUCUGAUUAAUGUUCAUAGCAAGAGGUGAGAUGGGUUCCAAGCCUGCUCUUUUUAAACCAUCCAUCAUUAUUAACCUACUAAGCCAAAUGAAAAUGUUCUUUGAUGAUAGCUCCUGCCCCUGGGGAGGAAGAAGUUGGAAGAAAAGUUGGAGAGAAUGAAACAUUUCAUUAAUUACCCCAUAGCAACUCAGUGGGAGGCUGGAUAUUUUCCUAAACUCCCAAACUGUUUUGUGCACACAUCCUCCCCCACAUUUUUUUCUACUUGGUACAUUAUUUCCAUCUCUCUGCUAAACUCUUGGUGUUGCCAGUUUCCAUGCUAAGAUCUCGCACAAACUCCCUUGCUGGUGAAAACGGGGUCAUUUCUAUGAAUCACUCAGACUGAGAGGAGUUAUCACAUGCCAAGAUGCUUGUGAUGGAUAGACUUUAAUGGAAGCUGUGACUUCACAUAUUUAUAUGUAUAGAUCAGCCUCCAGCUGUAGAAGGAUUCCCUCACCUCUAUCAGUUCAACUUGGGAUGUGAUCUCGCCACACUUUGCUUUCUCAUGGAAUUCCUCCAAGUAAAGCCCUCAUUGCUGUGGGAAGCUUGCUUUAGCUUUAGUAGUUGCCCUCCACCAUUUCAGCUUCCAAGCCAGUCUCUUAUUGUAAAGUUUGCCUGGUGUCCACAUAAAUCAUCGUGCUCAUGGUAAAGGAUUGAAGCCAAAUCCCUCAACACCAGCAUCCCCAAUCCCUGUAACUUUUUUUGAAACUAUGUAAGUUGCCUGUAAAGUAGCAAUUUACUCCAGCAGUUACAUAUCUUUCUUAAACUUGGAUGUAACAUUGCUAUAAUAGUUCCUGCUUUACUUUAAAAGUGGCUGCAUUCAAAGAAAGGAUUUUUGCAGCCAGAGCCUGAGUAGGCAAUGACAUUUUUUCUCACGUGCUUCUUUAAAGCACACACACAAAUUCCUCUUUGUGUAAUGAGCCCCCAAGCUGUGGGGAUGGUCCUGUCAAGAGCAAGUCUGAAGUUCUCUGUUCUUUGCCCUGUGUUGGCUCUGAACUGCUGCUGGAUGUAAUGCUCUUCCCUCCACUUCUCCUUGCCAGGUUUAUCAGUCAUUUGAAAAAAAGAAAAAAGAUGCUCUUGCUUAGCAUUUUGUUUCUGUAGGAUUUCUUUUCUUCAAUGCGAUGUAAAGGAUAAGCUCUGUGUUAUUGUCUUUGGAUAUGGAAUUGCACAGUUUAAAGACCCACUCUUAAAACAAUGUAGAUUAAGGCUGGAUUGAGGCUGGACUAAGGCAAUGUUCACUUUAGGAAUGCCAAAUACUAAUAUUGGUCAUUUUUAAGACUUUAUCAGUGUGCACUUCUGGAUUAACAGUUAAUUAAAAAAAAUCCCUCUGGUGCUCUUAUUUAUUCAAAUAGUGUAUAGGCAGGAGGUGAGAUUAAAAAAUAACCCCUCCAUAAUUUUAUAUUGAGUUCCUGAUUACAGAUUGCCAGUGUGUGUCAGUUAAAUAUAAAUGCAAAAUAGUUCACUUUUUUUAAUUCUCUAAAGAUCUGAAUUGCUAAUGAUAGACAUUGCAGAGUGGAAGGAAAAAUCAUUAACUGUUUAUAUUCACAAAUUAAAAUGGUGUUUUUCCAUUCCUAAUGAAGGCUGAAAGAAAUGCCAGGCCGUGUACUUUUUUGGACUCUGUACACUGUGAGCACAUUUCCCUGGUUGGGAACCGGCUCCUGGUGAGUGCCGCGCCCACAGCUUCCAAAAAUUCCAGAUGACUACAAUUUCACCUCAUGGGACCAGAAACCAAAAUUGUACCAGAGAUCCUGGCAUUCAAAUCCAACCCUCAAUUCCCUUUACACUCAAAAAGGCAGGAACUCUCAGUUUUGUUUUUGACAUCUCUCACUCCACAUGGUAUCUAGCUUAUUAUUUGGCUCUCUGGACUUCUUUUUCAUUCCAGAUUUUUCUGUUAUUACUAUAGCAUCUUUACUCCAUCUACUCUGUGGACAAUACAUUAGACAAACUUUGGGAAAACAUCUCUGUUCCUCAGUGUAUUUGCUAAAAAGGCUGAAAGUUAAUGUUUUCUCCGCGCAGGAGGCAAUUUGUGUGUAUCAACCAAGGAAUAAUGUUGGUUGCCUGUGGCUCUAAAAUACAAUAUUCUUCCAUGGACUUAAUGCCACAUGAGGUGUAUGGCUCUGAACUGCUAAGGGGAGCUGGUGUAAGUUCUGGGAGGCCAUUCAGCAGCAUCCCCAGGGACAAUCACCAGGGCAGACCAUGGUGGGGAAGAACCCAGUUCAGGUAGCAAUGAUUUCUUUACUUGAUGUAAACUUGGUUUCAAGCCCAGAAACCUUUCUUAACCUUACAAACCUUUCUCAACCUUUCAAACCUUCCUCAUUGUUGUGAUAAUAUCACAAAGCUGAAUAAAUAUUUGAAAAUGCAAAUAGUAAGUUUUUCCAUUUUGUUAAAUUGAAUUGCUGAAGUUCCUCUGCAGUCAACAGGAGCAGCAAAAAGGCCCAUCAGAGGUGAAGGAGAGCUGACACCUUCUCAGGAGGAUUCACUGAAAGAGAAAGGAGAGAAAACAAUAAGUGUGAUCCACCCUCCGAGUUCCCCAGAGUCAUUCAGGCCUGAAUCACUGCAUGUGCAGAGGCCGAUUAAUUGGAAAGCAUUUAUUAAUGAUUUAGGAAUAUGCUGACCCUUGGCUACAUGCUCAUCCCCAGCAAGUUUCUCAUACCACUGAUUCAGUCAAGCCUCUUCCAACAUGUGCCAUUGCACAGAGGUACCUGCUCACUUGCAUAGUAGGAAGUAAUGCAGGAAAGUACACUAGCCCGAGGGAAUGAAAACAGAGUAUAAAUUUACACUGUCACUUCAAGUCUGAGCCUGUUUUUAAAUCCUCAUGUGCCUUCUCUCCAUCUUGUUUACCAGAACUUCAGCUAAGCCUUGGAACUUUCUUGAGGAUCAAGUGUAAGCGUGCUCCAUGCUGUAGCAUAUUCCAUGUACGCAUUCGUGUCAGUGGGGAAGUUCCCACUUGCCUCUUGGCUGAAGCAUGGAAACCAGAUGUCAGUGCCCUGGAUCUCCGUAACCAAAGGGACAAGGCAGUGAGGUCACUAAUUAAUUCCCACUGGGAUUUCCAGACAGAAUCAGUGUGAUUAAUCUAAAUAGAGGACGCGUCUGUGUGACUAAACACAGCCUUCACUGAACAGGAUGGAUGGAGGAAGUUAAAGCGUGUAUGCCUGUCUGCGGAGGGAGAACAUGACUUUCUCAAGACCAUCUGGGUUUUGCUUUCUUUUGAUAGAGAUGGAUUUGACUCACCUCUUAGAGCACGAUGCUGUC
Molecule: long non-coding RNA, 5941 nt
Organism: Cygnus atratus (black swan)
Lineage: Eukaryota; Metazoa; Chordata; Aves; Anseriformes; Anatidae
Exons: 9
Source: RefSeq, a predicted model, not a curated record